This 253-nucleotide ribosomal RNA is filed under the name uncultured bacterium. Its description in RNAcentral is "partial 16S ribosomal RNA". It matches the Rfam family "Bacterial small subunit ribosomal RNA", at positions 524 to 776 of the family's 1533-position model. The record is from RNAcentral.
UACAGAGGGGGCAAGCGUUGUUCGGAAUUACUGGGCGUAAAGGGCGCGUAGGCGGCCUGUUAAGUCGAACGUGAAAUCCCCGGGCUCAACCCGGGAACUGCGUCCGAUACUGGCAGGCUUGAAUUCGGGAGAGGGAUGUGGAAUUCAUGGUGUAGCGGUGAAAUGCGCAGAUAUCAGGAGGAACACCAGCGGCGAAGGCAGGUCACUGGGCCGCAACUGACGCUGAGGAGCGAAAGCAUGGGGAGCGAACAGG